RNAcentral lists this ribosomal RNA (457 nucleotides) under uncultured Bacteroidota bacterium. RNAcentral's name for it is "bacterial SSU rRNA". It matches the Rfam family "Bacterial small subunit ribosomal RNA", at positions 224 to 678 of the family's 1533-position model. The record is from RNAcentral. Lineage: Bacteria; Pseudomonadati; Bacteroidota.
GAUGAGCAUGCGUCCCAUUAGCUUGUUGGUAAGGUAACGGCUUACCAAGGCAACGAUGGGUAGGGGUCCCGAGAGGGAGAUCCCCCACACUGGUACUGAGACACGGACCAGACUCCUACGGGAGGCAGCAGUGAGGAAUAUUGGUCAAUGGGCGCAAGCCUGAACCAGCCAUGCCGCGUGCUGGAUGAAGCAUCUAUGGUGUGUAAACUGCUUUUGUACGAGAAGAAACACUCCUUCGUGAAGGAGCUUGACGGUAUCGUAAGAAUAAGGACCGGCUAACUCCGUGCCAGCAGCCGCGGUAAUACGGAGGGUCCAAGCGUUAUCCGGAAUCAUUGGGUUUAAAGGGUCCGUAGGCGGUUUUGUAAGUCAGUGGUGAAAGCCCAUCGCUCAACGGUGGAACGGCCAUUGAUACUGCAAGACUUGAAUUAUUGGGAAGCAACUAGAAUAUGUAGUGUAG